Molecule: non-coding RNA, 22 nt
Filed under: Arabidopsis thaliana (thale cress)
Lineage: Eukaryota; Viridiplantae; Streptophyta; Magnoliopsida; Brassicales; Brassicaceae
Source: RNAcentral
UUUGAGUGUCCUCACUCUCGAC